RNAcentral lists this small RNA (4470 nucleotides) under Pongo abelii (Sumatran orangutan). RNAcentral's name for it is "retained intron". Lineage: Eukaryota; Metazoa; Chordata; Mammalia; Primates; Hominidae. The record is from RNAcentral.
GAGGGCGAUGAGAGCGGGUACUGCGAACUGCCGGGCGAUGCUGUCGCUGCCGCCGUGAUACGGAGAGCAACAGUUCCCCAGCAACACCCCUCCCCGACACAGGCACACACCCCCCGACAGGCACGCACACCCACCCCACAGUGCCCGGCUCGGCUGCGCCUCCUCUAUUGGCCCAGGAAGUCCACCCAGCCCCGCCACGCACAGCCCAGAAGGAAAGAAAGCCUCAUGCCUGAGCCGAGGGGAGCACCAUGGAUCUGACAAAAAUGGGCAUGAUCCAGCUGCAGAACCCUAGCCACCCCACGGGGCUGCUGUGCAAGGCCAACCAGAUGCGGUUGGCCGGGACUCUGUGCGAUGUGGUCAUCAUGGUGGACAGCCAGGAGUUCCACGCCCACCGGACGGUGCUGGCCUGCACCAGCAAGAUGUUUGAGAUCCUUUUCCACCGCAAUAGUCAACACUAUACUCUGGACUUCCUCUCGCCAAAGACCUUCCAGCAGAUUCUGGAGUAUGCAUAUACAGCCACGCUGCAAGCCAAGGCAGAGGACCUGGAUGACCUGCUGUAUGCGGCCGAGAUCCUGGAGAUCGAGUACCUGGAGGAGCAGUGCCUGAAGAUCCUGGAGACCAUCCAGGCCUCAGACGACAAUGACACGGAGGCCACCAUGGCCGAUGGCGGGGCCGAGGAAGAAGAGGACCGAAAGGCUCGGUACCUCAAGAACAUCUUCAUCUCGAAGCAUUCCAGCGAGGAGAGUGGGUAUGCCAGUGUGGCUGGACAGAGCCUCCCUGGGCCCAUGGUGGACCAGAGCCCAUCAGUCUCCACCUCAUUUGGUCUUUCAGCCAUGAGUCCCACCAAGGCUGCAGUGGACAGUUUGAUGACCAUAGGACAGUCUCUCCUGCAGGGAACUCUUCAGCCACCUGCAGGGCCUGAGGAGCCAACUCUGGCUGGGGGUGGGCGGCACCCCGGGGUGGCUGAGGUGAAGACGGAGAUGAUGCAGGUGGAUGAGGUGCCCAGCCAGGACAGCCCUGGGGCAGCCGAGUCCAGCAUCUCAGGAGGGAUGGGGGACAAAGUUGAGGAAAGAGGCAAAGAGGGGCCCGGGACCCCGACUCGAAGCAGUGUCAUCACCAGUGCUAGGGAGCUGCACUAUGGGCGAGAGGAGAGUGCUGAGCAGCUGCCACCCCCAGCUGAGGCUGGCCAGGCCCCCACUGGCCGACCUGAGCACCCAGCACCCCCACCUGAGAAGCAUCUGGGCAUCUACUCUGUGUUGCCCAACCACAAGGCUGACGCUGUAUUGAGCAUGCCGUCUUCCGUGACCUCUGGCCUCCACGUGCAGCCUGCCCUGGCUGUCUCCAUGGACUUCAGCACCUAUGGGGGGCUGCUGCCCCAGGGCUUCAUCCAGAGGGAGCUGUUCAGCAAGCUGGGGGAGCUGGCUGUGGGCAUGAAGUCAGAGAGCCGGACCAUCGGGGAGCAGUGCAGCGUGUGUGGGGUCGAGCUUCCUGAUAACGAGGCUGUGGAGCAGCACAGGAAGCUGCACAGUGGGAUGAAGACGUACGGGUGCGAGCUCUGCGGGAAGCGGUUCCUGGAUAGUUUGCGGCUGAGAAUGCACUUACUGGCUCAUUCAGCGGGUGCCAAAGCCUUUGUCUGUGAUCAGUGCGGUGCACAGUUUUCGAAGGAGGAUGCCCUGGAGACACACAGGCAGACCCAUACUGGUGAGUUGACUUGGAUUCUUAUUCUCCAGGUUUUCCACAGUGUUGGUUGCACAUGGACAUUAACUGUCUGGGUGGCAACCUCUUUUUAGCAAAUGUGACAUCCAGUAAUUUCCUGGGGGAGCUGUGAGUAGGAUGGGCUUCUGCCACAUUCAGCUACUCUUGUCUGUGUGGCUGGCCCAGCAGAAGUUUACAAGUAUGACAUGGCCCCAUGAGAAUGGCUGUCCUAGAUUAGGCCAAGAUCUGUCUCUAACCGGCCACCGAGAUCUCAUUUUCUUGGAGGUAUCUAGUAUGCUCUUGUUGAGGCCUUAGUCUGUGAUGUUAUCAAAACAUCUUCUUCCCUUGGUCAGGAAAUCUCUCACACCCAUCUGAUGAAACUGAAACCCUCGUGUGGCCACAGUUGGCUGGUCCUCCCUCUGCGAGAGCUGAGACAUUGUCUAAAAUCAGCGUGUACGCAGGAUGCAUUUGAACAAUAUUAACUCACAAUGAUAGAGCUUUAUUUGAUUUCAAAGGGAUUGAUUUCACCGCACCAAAGUCAUCUGAUUAUUGUGAUCAGAGUCGUUGUCAUCACAUCAUCACAGCAGCUCACACUUAACACUCACAGUGAGGCAGGCACUGUUGUCAGUGCUUUAUGUCAGGGGUCCCCAACCCUGGGAUCAUGGACUGGUGUCUGUGGUGGUCUGUUAGGAACCAGGCUGCGUGGCAAGAGGCAAGCGGUGGGCGAGCAAGUGAAACUUCAUCUGUAUUUACAGCUCUUCCUCAUUGCUCGCUUUACCACCUGAGCUCCUCCUCGUGUCAGAGCAGCAGCAGCAGCAUUAGAUUCUCAUAGGAGCACAGACCCUAUUGUGAACUGUGCAUGCAAGGGGUUUAGGUUGCACGCUUCUUAUGAGAAUCUAAUGCCUGAUGAUCUGUCACUGUCUCUCGUCACCCCCAGAUGGGACCAUCUAGUUGCAGGAAAACAAGCUCAGGGCUCCCACUAAUUCUACAUUAUGGUGAGUUGUAUAAUUAGUUCAUUAUAUAUUAUAAUAUAAUAAUAGAAAUAAAGUACACGAUAAAUGUACUUUAAUGUACAAUAAAUGUACAAUAAAUGUAAAUGUAAUGUGCUUAAAUCAUCCCAGGACCACCCCCCUGUACCCUGCUGUAUGUGAAAAGGUUUUCUUCCAUAAAACUGGUCCCUGGUGCCAAAAAGGUUGGGGACCACUGCUUUACGUGAUCCCAUCUGGCCAAUCUCUCAGUGACCCUGUAAGGUAAGGUAGGAAGCUACUCUUAUGUCAUAGAUGAGGAAACUGAGGCUGAAAGGAGGGAAAGUGACUUGCUGGAGUUGGUAGUGGGGACAGGCGUGGUAGAGCCAUAUAGUUCAGAGCUGAGACUGCAUGGGUUUAAUCCUGACUCUGCCACUUCCUAUUUGUGGGGCCAUGGAUAAAUUAUUUAAACUCUCUUAAUUUAGAUUUCUCAUCUAUUAGAAAAGUGGAGUAAUAUUAGUGUCUACCUCAUAGCAUUAGGGUUGUUGUGGGGAUGAAAUAAGGUAUUUUAUUUGAAGUAUUUCAUGGAGUGUUUGGCUCAUAGUAAGCACUCAAUAAAUAGUAGUAGGUAUAUUUAAUGUAAUAGAUAUUUAUUGAGUUUCUACAAUGUGCCUGGCACUGUUUAGGCAUUUAAGAUGUAGUAGUGCACGAGACAGACGACAUUGCUGCCUCUCAUGGAACUGAGCUUCUAGCUGGGAGACAGAAUCAGCAAAUAAAUGUACGAUAUCAUGUCUGCUUAUACAUAUUAAGUGCUACUAGAAAAGGAUAAGGAGUACAGAAUAAUAGAGAGAAAAGAAAUAUUGUGGAUAUUUAGGGAGAAAUGUUGUGGAUAGAAUGGUUAGGGAAGGCCUCUGCAAGAAGGUGGUAUCUGGGCAGAGUCUUAAAAAGUGAAGGAGUGAGCCACUCAAAAAUUUCUGGGAAGAAUGUCUAAGCAAAGGGAGUGAGCACUUGCAGAAGCCCUGAGGCUGGAUCAAGCCUGACAAGUUUAAGGACCCGCACGCAGAGCAGUGGUGGCCAGAGAGCUGGGAGUGACAUGUAGAGAGUGGUGAGGGAUGAGGACAGGAUCUGUCAAGUCUCUCAGCCCUGGUAAAAGAUUUGGGUUUUAUUCUGCAUGUGCUAAGAGUCCUUUGGAGGGUGACAAAAUAUUUGCAAAUCAUAUAUUUGAUGAGGAACUUAUAGCUAGAAAUAGAGGUCUUAUAAUUCAAAAAACAUAAACAAAUAAUCAAAUUAAAUAAUGGGCAAAAGUUCUGAACAGACAUGUCUCCAAAGAUAGACAAAUAGCCAAUGAGCACAUGAAGAAGAUGCUCAACUGCAUUCACCGUCAGGGAGAUGCAAAUCAAAACCACAGUGAGAUACUGCUUCACACCCACUACAAUGUGGCUACAAUAAAAAAUACAGAUAGUUACAAGUGUUAUCAAAGACGUGGAAAAACCAGAACUUUCAUACUAUGCUGGUGGGAGUGUAAAAUGGUGCAGUCACUUUGGAAAACAUUCUGGUGAUUCCUCAAGAGGUUAGUUGAGGCAGGCAGAUCACGAGGUCAGGAGAUCGAGACCAUCCUGGCCAACAUGGUGAAACCCCGUCUCUACUAAAAAAAUACAAAAAUUAGCUGGGCAUGGUGGCAUGUGCUUGUAAUCCCAGCUACUCGGGAUGCUGAGGCAGGAGAAUCACUUGAACCAGGGAGUCGGAAGUUGCAGUGAGCUGAGAUUGCGCCACUGCACUCCAGCCUGGCGUCAGAGUGAGACUCCAUCUC